AGUAAUGUAUGGGGAUCUGCCCGAUAGAGGGGGAUAACUACUGGAAACGGUGGCUAAUACCGCAUAAUGUCUACGGACCAAAGCAGGGGUUCUUCGGACCUUGCACUAUCGGAUGAACCCAUAUGGGAUUAGCUAGUAGGUGGGGUAAAGGCUCACCUAGGCGACGAUCUCUAGCUGGUCUGAGAGGAUGAUCAGCCACACUGGGACUGAGACACGGCCCAG
RNAcentral lists this ribosomal RNA (222 nucleotides) under uncultured bacterium. Its description in RNAcentral is "partial 16S ribosomal RNA". It matches the Rfam family "Bacterial small subunit ribosomal RNA", at positions 109 to 334 of the family's 1533-position model. The record is from RNAcentral.